GUGUCAGCCGCCGCGGUAAUACGUAGGUGGCAAGCGUUGUCCGGAUUUACUGGGCGUAAAGCGUGUGUAGGCGGCUAUUUAAGUGAGAUGUGAAAUCCCCGGGCUUAACUUUGGGGCUGCAUUUCAAACUGGAUGUCUGGAGUGCAGGAGAGGAAAGUAGAAUUCCUAGUGUAGCGGUGACAUGCGUAGAGAUUAGGAUGAAAACCAGUGGCGAAGGCGGCUUUCUGGACUGCAACUGACGCUGAGGCAUGAAAGCGUGGGGAGCAAACAGGAUUAGAUACCCUGGUAGGCCACGCCGUAAACGAUGAAUACUAGGUGUAGGGGGUAUCGACUCCCUCUGUGCCGCAGCUAACGCAAUAAGUAUUCCGCCUGGGAAGUACGGGCGCAAGAUUAAAACUCAAAUGAAUUGGCGG
RNAcentral lists this ribosomal RNA (413 nucleotides) under uncultured bacterium. RNAcentral describes it as "bacterial SSU rRNA". It matches the Rfam family "Bacterial small subunit ribosomal RNA", at positions 505 to 916 of the family's 1533-position model. The record is from RNAcentral.